Molecule: ribosomal RNA, 163 nt
Filed under: uncultured bacterium
Lineage: Bacteria
Description: partial 16S rRNA
Rfam family: Bacterial small subunit ribosomal RNA
Source: RNAcentral
UAGGGAAUCUUCCGCAAUGGACGCAAGUCUGAUGGAGCAACGCCGCGUGAGUGAAGAAGAUCUUCGGAUCGUAAAACUCUGUUGUUAGAGAAGAACACGAGUGAGAGUAACUGUUCAUUCGAUGACGGUAUCUAACCAGCAAGUCACGGCUAACUACGUGCCA